AAGACAUUCCUGUCUGUCCCGCACUCGGAAAGAUCUCUGUUUAUUUUGUUUUGCUUGUGCUUCAUGGGCUAUGAAAUCAGCAGCUUCCCAGUCAGAUAUGUGGAAAGUUGCUUUGCUGGUGAAUAUCAGUGCCAUCUCUGCUGUGAGAUACUUCAGGACACGUGCAAAAAGGGAAAAUUCUAAGUACUUGGCUCUCCAGGACUCCGAACAUAAAGAACCUUAGGAAGAAUGAAUGUUCAGGAAUUCAACCUGUAAAGCUAUAACAUUAAACAAUGCAACAAAAUCCAA
Rhincodon typus (whale shark) is the source of this 288-nucleotide long non-coding RNA. RefSeq lists it as uncharacterized. The record is from RefSeq and is a predicted model, not a curated record. The transcript is spliced from 2 exons. NCBI's taxonomy places the organism in Eukaryota, Metazoa, Chordata, Chondrichthyes, Orectolobiformes, Rhincodontidae.